ACUCCUACGGGAGGCAGCAGUGGGAAUAUUGCACAAUGGGGAACCGUAGCAUGCAGCCAUGCCGCGUGUGUGAAGAAGGCCUUCGGGUUGUAAAGCACUUUCAGCGAGGAGGAAAGGGUGUAAGUUAAUACCUUACAUCUGUGACGUUACUCGCAGAAGAAGCACCGGCUAACUCCGUGCCAGCAGCCGCGGUAAUACGGAGGGUGCGAGCGUUAAUCGGAAUUACUGGGCGUAAAGCGUGCGCAGGCGGUUUGUUAAGCGAGAUGUGAAAGCCCGCC
This 278-nucleotide ribosomal RNA is filed under the name uncultured bacterium. RNAcentral's name for it is "partial 16S ribosomal RNA". It matches the Rfam family "Bacterial small subunit ribosomal RNA", at positions 335 to 606 of the family's 1533-position model. The record is from RNAcentral.